This is a long non-coding RNA of Danaus plexippus (monarch butterfly), 3869 nucleotides long. RefSeq lists it as uncharacterized. The transcript is spliced from 2 exons. NCBI's taxonomy places the organism in Eukaryota, Metazoa, Arthropoda, Insecta, Lepidoptera, Nymphalidae. The record is from RefSeq and is a predicted model, not a curated record.
UCUACUCGGCUGUCACUAUUAUAAUUUAAAUUCUAUAAAUUUCAAUUGUUUUUAGAAUUUUUAUUUGUUGAUCGUGAUUAUGUAUUUGUCUCAUAACAAAUGCUUUUAUUUUGAUGCUAGUUCAUACAUUAAUUUUAGUAUCUGACGUAUAUAGCACAGACGUCACAAAUCCCUCACCCAUAAUUAAGUCUCGCCAGUGUCGGUCAGAAAUAACAAAAUGUCGUAAUUAUUAUUGUCAUAUUUACCUCAAGGUUAUUGACCUCCUGGACUGCGUGAUAUGUCAUAACUGAUGAAGUACUACUACAGUGCUCAAAUAAAAGUAUUUUUGUAUAUGAAUAUUUUUAAUAAAAGAACUUAUAUUAUACUAUAAAAUUACUACUUACUACUAUACUUUAUAGUUAUAAAAGAAUAAGCCGUUUGUGAUCCGAUAUUCCUACAUAGUCAUAGAAUCCAUGACGUUAAUUCCAACGUUUAUAGGUGGUCAUCAAGAAAAGUUUUAUUUAAGACUAGUUUUUGCCCGCGACUUCGUUCGCGUUACCGUCGUUUUUCGUAAAAAAGUAGCAUAUGUUAGUGAUUGUGUAAUAGUGAAUCCUCACGAUUUAGUGGUUUUGAUUAACUUUCGUAUUUUAGUAGGGUAAAAUAAUAUGUCUAUCCACAAUCCUGUAGAAAAAUAUAAUGAACUGUAGAAUAUUAUUAUUAUAGCUGUGCCCGCGACUCCGUCAGUGUGUAACUUCUUGUUUGUUAUUAAGUUGCUGUUUUCGGUCAAUGGAACGCCUUAGCUCUCGUUGAGAGGAGCUCUUAGAGUUUUGAGACGCCCGUGAUGUAGUUCGUCUCGCUCUGUCAGCUGCUAAUCGCACUAACUCUCAUACAAUUUAACAGAUGUGCUCUUUUCUCUACCGAUUUUUGAGGAAGCUUAAUUCUCAUUCUCUUAGCUUGACUCGAAGUUAAAGAUAAAGAUAAUCGUUUCUUAGGUGACAUUGUGUAUUUUACUUUUAAUCGACGUUAACUGAAAGGCUGUCAGUUACCUAAAAAAAUCAUCUUCUUUAGAGGAACCUGACUGAACUGAAGGAACUGAAGAAUUAUACCCAGAAAUAUGUGUAACUUACAACAGAAAAGGAAAUGAAAUAAAGCUGAAACGCCUGCGUAAUACAAUCUACGUAGACCUACUUCACUUAAAAAUAAAUACCCAUUACUACUAUAAUUAAUAAAAGUACCUACGCUUUAACUACUCAAUACAAAAAAACUGAACAUAAAUUAGCCAAGCUAACCUAUACGUAUCUAAAACUCAGGCGUACUACUUCUACUUCUACUACUUCGUCACCUAAAAAUAAAUAAAAUGGAAACUAUAUAUAAUUUGGAAUUUGAACGAAUGUGUAAACACUACCAAAACAACUAACACCUAUUUUAUAAAACAACAAAAAGAGAAAUUUAUAUAAAUUAUUUAAAUACUAAUAGUCGCGCUGACAGGCGCGGUUUAUAAUAUCAACUAUUGUCAGACAAUAAAGUCGAACGUCCUGAACCAAUCAACAGCCAAUUAUUGAAUGAAGCCUGCGCUCGCCUCCCGCCUUUUUAUACCCUACCGCCGCGAGCCGCGCUGAGUGCGGCAAUCGUUACGCAAAAAUAAUCCUUAUAGCAUGAUUCAGUAUUCACGCGCGAUGGCUUAUUAGCGUAUUUCAUGUAUUAGUUCGGUGUUUGUAUACUGAUAUCUAUGAUUCUUUUUAUAUUGUAAAGGUAAUAAUGUAAAUUUUUAUUUAAUUAGGGUUGAGUGAGAGUAUAUUAUAAACGUAAAAAGUAAGCAAAUAUAAUCAAAAAGCUUCGAACUGCUAAGCUAUCGAGAGUUACUCGUGUUAUUGUGACGCAACAUGAAAGGUGACAAACGAGCAGACGGCCUACCUGAUGGGUUCACAGUCGUCCAUGGACGUAAGAGAUGUUGCGAAUGCGUUGCCAGUAUUGGUUGUUGAGGAAGGAGUAAAUGGUAGGACUAUGGAGAUGGCAAGAAAGAGUGGGAACAGACAAAGACCACUUACAGUACUUCAAGCCAGUCCAUGCUCGGACUGUAGUACAUUGAACACAGCUAGGCUACCACCCAAAUGAUAUAUUAUUAGAGUAUCCCUCAAAAUCCGUCCCCUGUCUGUUUCGGCAGCUCCUGUAGUCCAAAAUGAACAACUACUUUUUUUUCUAAUCUCCGCCAACUCACGAUUCACAUAACUUUUCUUUUAAUUCUGAUUCAAUAGUGUGAAUUUGACGACGUAAGAUAGCAUUGUGAUUGUUCUUUCAGAGCACAUAUCUAUAAUAUAUAAAAUCUUAUCAUUCAAUACAUUGUGCAUAUAAAAAAAAAUUGAUUUAAAUUAUAAAAAAAUAUAUAUGUUAAGAUACUGAUGCGGAUACUCUAUUCAUAAGUACAGAUAAAUCUUCCCUAAGGACUAAUCUCUUAUUUAUGUAAACCAAUAGACAACUAAUAUAAAUCAUUUUUAACUUUAUUGUACUUAAAACUGAAGUCAAAUAAAUAUCUUAGUUAGGAGAAACAAUGGAAACAAUGAAAUAUGAAUAAAAAUAUUUAAUUACAUACAACACAGGUAUAGUAGAGUGUAAAUAACGGUAUUUACUAAAUUAUAUAUCAAUUUAACAUUUUUUGGACCAUAGUUUUGAGCCAAUUCAUUCCUCUACAACAUAAUUCGAGACGAUUCAAAUAAAGAAUUAAGUACAUUGGGAUUAAAAAAAAAAAAAUUGUCAGCCAAGUGUAAAAAAAAUUAAGACUCUAGUGAAUAAAACUAUUUAGCUAUAUACAGAUUAAAAAUAGACAUUAUAGAUGUUGGUAAAACAUGUAACCUCAAAAGAACUUGUAAACGACGACACUAAAAAAAAGGUUCUAUAUUUUUAUUUACAUUAAAAUUCAGUAUUAAAACACGAGCUAGACUUUUUGUAUGCAAACGUUGUAACUACAAAGUCUCUAUAAAUGCAACCGAUACAUAACACAAGGGAAUGUACUAAAUACAUUAUAUACUGAACGUUUCAUUUUCAGUUUAUAAAACCUCUGAUAUGUGCAAAGAUUAGAUCCCUUAUAAUUAAAUGACAUGCCCUUAGUUACAUUAAAUAUUCUUAUAAUAUAAAUUUAAGCUCAAAUCACUAAAUACUUUGUUACAGAUAACCUACCGUCACUGACGCGCCUAACGCCUGGCAAUACAUACUCAACUGAUUCUGAACAAUACGAAUCCUGUAUGAGACACAUCAUUAUACGUUAGGAAAACUGGAAUAUCAUUAACACAAUACGUUAUUUAUGGAAAUUUAAAUACAUUUUGUUCCGACAAUUUAAUAUAAAACAACAUUUAUAAGAGAAAAACCUUAAUAUAUAUCUAUUAAUACUCAUAAGACGUAACACAAGGCACUAGUAUUAGGCCUUCACGGAAUUGAAAGAACUAUUGGAGUCUGUCGCAGAGAUUCUUUCAACACGAACACGGAAAACAUCUUGCUACAGAUUAUAAAAAUUUCAUACAAAUAUAUGGAAAUUUUAGCACCUUCCAUGGGAAGUGUCUGCACUAAGAGCUUUAAGCCUAGUACAAUAUAAUGAUACGAAAAAAAAAAUAUCGCUUAUUUUUUUUAAUUUCUAUGUCGCUUUAAACCCGAGCCACGUGAUUUAUUUCAGCAAUUUUUCGUCUAUUAGGAACUAUAUUAAGAUGUAUGAGUUCGCGUUACGUUUAAAACUAGAAAACAUCAAGCAACAACAGAAAUGGAUGGAAUGUUACCUAUAUCAAGAUCACUAGUCUAAACCUAGCCUUAUUGUCAACCCGAGGACCUAGCAACUGGAAAUAUAACAUCACCAAAACAAUAUCAACCGCUGUCUGUGAGAAGAGACGUCGACACAGAAAUUA